RNAcentral lists this ribosomal RNA (406 nucleotides) under uncultured bacterium. Its description in RNAcentral is "partial 16S ribosomal RNA". It matches the Rfam family "Bacterial small subunit ribosomal RNA", at positions 30 to 526 of the family's 1533-position model. The record is from RNAcentral.
AUUGAACGCUGGCGGCAGGCCUAACACAUGCAAGUCGAACGAGUGGCGGACGCGUGAGUAAUGUCUGGGAAACUUCCCGAUGGAGGGGGAUAACUACUGGAAACGGUGGCUACUACCGCCUACCAUCUGAUGUGCCCAGAUGGGAUUAGCUAUUUGGUGGGGUAAAGGCUCACCAAGGCGACGAUCCCUAGCUGGUCUGAGAGGAUGAUAAGCCACACUGGAACUGAGACACGGUCCAGACUCCUACGGGAGGAAGAAGUGGGGAAUAUUGCACAAUGGGCGCAAGCCUGAUGAAGCAAUGCCGCGUGUAUGAAGAAGGACUUAGGGGUGGAAAGUACUUUCAGCGGGGAGGCGUUACCCGCAGAAGAAGCACCGGCUAACUCCGUGCCAGCAGCCGCGGUAAUAC